GACGAACGCUGGCGGCGUGCUUAACACAUGCAAGUCGAACGGAAAGGCCCUGCUUUUUUUGGGUGCUCUAGUGGCGAACGGAUGAGUAACACGUGAGUAACCUGCCCUUGCCUUUGGGAUAACUUCAGGAAACUAGGGCUUAUACAGUAUAGGAUCUCCUGCUUCAUGGUGGGGGUUGGAAAGUUUCGGCGGUUGGGGAUGGACUCGCGGCUUAUCAGCUUGUUGGUGGGGUAGUGGCUUACCAAGGCUUUGACGGGUAGCCGGCCUGAGAGGGUGACCGGCCACAUUGGGACUGAGAUAGGGGCCAGAAGGCUACGGGAGGCAGCAGUGGGGAAUAUUGUAAAAUGGGCGGAAGGCGGAUGGAGCAACGGCGCGUGGGGGAUGACGGCCUUCGGGUAGUAAACCGCUUUCGCCUGUGACGAAGGGGGAGUGACGGUAAUGGGUAAAGAAGCACCGGCUAACUACGUG
Molecule: ribosomal RNA, 468 nt
Filed under: uncultured bacterium
Lineage: Bacteria
Description: partial 16S ribosomal RNA
Rfam family: Bacterial small subunit ribosomal RNA
Source: RNAcentral